UCCGGUGUCGUCUAAUGGCAGGACAGUGGACUUUGGAUCCACGAAUGAUGGUUCGAAUCCAUCCACCGGAG
Molecule: transfer RNA, 71 nt
Filed under: Sandaracinaceae bacterium
Lineage: Bacteria; Pseudomonadati; Myxococcota; Polyangiales; Sandaracinaceae
Description: tRNA-Gln
Rfam family: tRNA
About the family: Transfer RNA (tRNA) molecules are approximately 80 nucleotides in length. Their secondary structure includes four short double-helical elements and three loops (D, anti-codon, and T loops).
Source: RNAcentral